Molecule: long non-coding RNA, 1201 nt
Organism: Corvus hawaiiensis (hawaiian crow)
Lineage: Eukaryota; Metazoa; Chordata; Aves; Passeriformes; Corvidae
Exons: 5
Source: RefSeq, a predicted model, not a curated record
UCAGCCCAAAGCAACCCCUGGGCAUGGCCUUCCAGGCCCAAUCUCCAGGCAGUGCCCACUUGCGACUGGCAAGGUUUUUGCGCCAGAGGGAUGGACGGGCAGCUCUAGCCCCAGAUGGGAGGAAGGGGAGAGUGGAGGAGAGCAGCUGAGGACCAAAGCUGGAGCCCUCCUUUGUGUCCUCUUCGGUCAGCGUGGACUCGGGCUCCAGGGGCAGCAAUCGUGAAAGGAGCAUCUGGGAUAAACAGAGGAGAGCAGGAUGAUGCCUGUGCUUCUGGUGGGUGUCCCAGAGGAUGCUGUUCUGUACUUCCCAGUCGCAUGUGGCCAUCCAGAAACAGCUGAGUCAGUGUGCUCGAGGACUCCUGCUGCCGCAGGACGGCCGCAGGCAGGCGCAGCUCUGCUGGAACGCCCCGGUUGCAUGAGUCAGAGUCAGUCCUUUCCUGAGUGAAAGGCAGAGCGGUGUCUGGGACUGAGCAAAGUAUACACUGCACAGCAGUGAAGGAGCCAGCAUGUCAGUCCAGUCACUGAUUGCCAAACCCUCCUUCCAGAAAGGUGACUGUGUGGAUCUCCUGAAGGAAAAAGUUCAACACUUGUAGUGGAGAAGUAUGGCCCAAAGGGAUCAAAAUAAGCUACAGCAGCUGCUUCUGCAGCCAGGCCAGAAGGGAACAGAGCAGCAUGCUCGAGUUGCUGGGUGAACCCAGGAUGAUCACAACUGCAGGAAGGUGGUAGAUCCUCAGAGACAGAGACUGCAGCUCUGCAGCAGAAAGGAGGAGGACCCUUCCCAUUCCUGCCCAGCUGGUGACUAGUCUGCUUUCUAGACAGCUGACAAGGGCCGUUCAAGGAGUGCCAGGACUGACUUGAAAACUGAUGUGGCAUUCCUGAAAGGAAAGAACAUUAGUGCCAGUUUUACUUGAAACAUAAUUGGAUUUGCAGCAACAACCUUCCAGAAAGCAAUGAGACAAUCAAGGGUAUCAGGAUACUUAGUAAGUUAUCAAAUUAGCAUUAUUAAAAGUUAAUUCUAAAGUUUUAGUGCUGGGUAUCUUUGUUUUUUGUACAAGAAAAAGAUGCAGGUACCUUCCCCUCAAAACCCUGCUUGGCUUUACAGGACAAGAGCUUCAAAAAGGAUGAAAUAUAAAAGGGCCUAAACCCAGCACAAGCAGAUUGGUCCUGUGUUAAAAGCUGAAUAGUGUAGUAUAAGCACAUA